Molecule: non-coding RNA, 351 nt
Organism: Macaca mulatta (Rhesus monkey)
Lineage: Eukaryota; Metazoa; Chordata; Mammalia; Primates; Cercopithecidae
Source: RefSeq, a predicted model, not a curated record
ACUCUUUUUUUUUGUCCUAAACAGUUCCACAUGGACUCAUAAUUCCACAUGGCUGGGGAGCCCUCAGGAAACUGACAACUGUGGGAGAAAAUGAGGAGGAGAAACAUCUAACAUAAAGGCUGUGAGGAGGGGAAGCUGACUCAACUGCUUCCUGGAUGGUGAACAAAGCGACAGAACUUUUGGCAGCUGACUUGGACUACGAGUUUACUUGAUGACAGCAGCCACAGGCUCAGAGGUGGAACAGAGAUAAAGAAAGAGCAUGAGCCUGAGGAUCCUGGAACUUCCAUGGUCUUGACUGCAUCCUCCAGAUUCACUUUGCCUAUGAGAAAAAUAAAACUCUAUUUUGUUUAA